RNAcentral lists this unclassified non-coding RNA (256 nucleotides) under uncultured Pleosporales. Its description in RNAcentral is "sequence contains 5.8S rRNA gene, ITS2, 28S rRNA gene". The stretch from base 1 to 52 matches the Rfam family "5.8S ribosomal RNA", at positions 103 to 154 of the family's 154-position model. The record is from RNAcentral. Lineage: Eukaryota; Fungi; Ascomycota; Dothideomycetes; Pleosporales.
AACGCACAUUGCGCCCUUUGGUAUUCCAAAGGGCAUGCCUGUUCGAGCGUCAUUUGUACCCUCAAGCUUUGCUUGGUGUUGGGCGUUUUUUGUCUUUGGUUGCCAAAGACUCGCCUUAAAAGGAUUGGCAGCCGGCCUACUGGUUUCGCAGCGCAGCACAUUUUUGCGCUUGCAAUCAGCAAAAGAGGACGGCAAUCCAUCAAGACUCCUUCUCACGUUUGACCUCGGAUCAGGUAGGGAUACCCGCUGAACUUAA